CACCUCCCAAGUGUAGAGACUGCAGGUGUGAUGCUACCACACCCAACAGAGACAUUGUUAUCUCACAGCCUUCCCCCUUCAGCAAACAAAACUCAUUUGAGACAUUUUUACUGAGUAUGUUACACACCAGGCAGUAACCAGCACUAACUUCAGUGUGAGGCCGACAAGCGUCUGCCAGGUAGCAAGAUCAGAACAAGCUGGGAGGGAAGAACAGGUAGAAAAGGAAGUGGGGACCAUCCCCACUCAAGAGCACCGGGCAGUGUUGCUAAGACCAGACCUCAGGCAGGGCAGGUGCCUGGACGUGAACCCCGCUACUCAAGUUUACAUGGCAAGCACUUUACUGACUCAGCCCUCUCCCAGCCUCUGGAGCUAGUGUUUUUUCGGAGUGGAGAAAUGAACCUCUUUCUGACAUGCUCACGAAGGGAGGUGCGACACUCCACCCAGGACCUUACCCUGACCUCCAACGUAUGUUUCAUACCUGGACAAUGUAGAGACAAGGACAGUACUGGGCCCCUCCUCCGAUGCUGAUGCCAAUCAGGUUCUGAGCAUCCUUCUGCAGGGUGACCUUCCCGGGCACAGUGGGGAUUCCUCUGGGAAGAGAAGCAAGUGACAGUGAAUUCUGGUCAAACGCUGACUGGAAGGAGCAGGGUCCCAUGUCCAGAAAAGCUCCAACAACCUAUAUAAAGUAGCCUCUUCCUUUCUCAUCCAGAAAGAGCAAUUUGUACCAGAACUGCUCAAGAGUCAGUGGUGGGGUCAAAGCCAGGGUUGCCAAAAAUCUGCAGUGAGACUAAACUCCAAGGAAACUUUUUGUAACCUUUCUCAGGUACUUGCAGGACAUGACAACCCCCUUCCUUUAGAAGGUUACUCAACUAUCUUCCAGCCAUCUUCCUGCUCAGACACCCCAGCACUCACAAUACAACUUAGGCUGUCUUGUGGUGAACAGGUUCAGAUGUCAGCUUGGUUACUGAAGACCAAUUUCCUAACAACCAACGGCUACCCACCUCUUAUUAAGGACUAACGACACACAAGGCCAGGAGAUGGCUCAUUCUUUCUAAGGGUCAGACAAAUAUGAUUUCUGAUUACUAAUCACCUGUGCUGGGAGGAAGGUCUGAUGGUGGCAUUCCAUGCAGCUUUUGCAACCUGGCUCUGUUACCUGCUUUGGAACACCUUCCCAGACCACCCUAGCAUUACCUGGAUAAUGCCUUCAGGGUUCACAUGGCCCAAGUCGUGUUAUCUGUUAACCUGUCACAACCCCCUACAAGUGAUCUACUACUGGGAUGUCUGGGACCAUUUCUACUCCCGUACACUAAAAAGAAAGAAUGUGUGGAGCCAGGGCACCCAAGGACACGAGGGAACUGGGUCCUCAGUUCUCAGGUCUUGGGAAAGAAUAUACUCACAAUUUAUCCUCCUCGAUGUCAUAGUCUAAGUCUGCAAACAUGGUUCCGAGAGCUGGGGCCGACUGGCUAACUGCCCAGUUCGGGAGGGGAAUAGGAAACUGGGUCUGACGGAGAAAAGAGCACAGGGCUUCAGGGAACUGAAAUGCCCAGAUGCCAGCCCCAAGCUCCCACCCCUCCCCCACCCGGACAGCCGGCCUCUGGUCCCCUCCCCUCUAGACUGGGAGAGGGAGCCUCAGGCUGGAAGGGCGCGGCGUGGGGGUGUGGGGGUAGGUGAUUCUUACUUGGUACAGGGGAGGACCCCAGGCCAGGGCGAUGGGCUCGGAUUCUGGAGCCCGCCCCACGGUCUCCAGACCCUUGGGAGCCGCUUCAGUCGCUCACCGAGAGAGUCCGUCCCACAGCCAGGCCCGGGCCAGGCUGGCACCUGAACCCACCUGCCGUUCCACCUGGCGGCGACCGCGACUGUCGCGUCACUUCCGGUUGGACGCGGAAGUCCCGCCUCUCCCCUUGGGUAUUUGCCCCAAUCCCUGCGGGCACCCCUUCUGUCUCUGCUCCGGGACUCUCUGAACCAGGAAAAAGAACAAGUGUUGAUGGAAGCUCGCCGUUAGUAUGAAAAAAAGGAAAAGGAGGAAAAGGUUUAGACAUGCUGGCGGCUCCGGACCCCGCCCUUGUCGUUGCCGCCAUCUUGGAGAGGACAGAGCUCUUCCCAGCUUCCUUAGCGACACUCUGGGGACCACUUAGCCGGGCGGUUGCCGGGGCAACGGAAGCAUCCUGGGGCUAGUGAAAGUUCAGUGAAUUGCAAACCUCAAGACCUUGGUUUUCAUAUUUUCAAUACCGCUUCCUAAGAAAAACCUGUGUCUCCUCCACUACAAAGCUUUAGUUAGUGCUGUAAGGUUCCCGCUAAAUCCCAGUCUCACAAAGAAAGAAAUUAAGUAUCUGAGAAAGGGAGUAACUUUUUUCAGACAUAAUAACAGUUGGUGUAAGAUCCAGAUCUUGGCCCUGAGACCCCUUCCGCCAGUCUGGGAUCUUUGAACAUCUGCGCUAAAUUCGGAGCUGUGAAUUUUGCCUCUUUCAGAUUUGACGUCUUUCCCCCACAAACAUUACCAUCCAGUAAAAGUUUUUUUGGCAAAGAA
Molecule: long non-coding RNA, 2527 nt
Organism: Rattus norvegicus (Norway rat)
Lineage: Eukaryota; Metazoa; Chordata; Mammalia; Rodentia; Muridae
Source: RefSeq, a predicted model, not a curated record